GUGGUCCUGCCGUGUACGUGAUACCGACUUGUGGUUUUGGGCCAACAUGAUUGAUACGGACGUUUUAUUCUUUUUGCAACACGAUAGGCAAGCCCGCCAAGCGGGCGCAGCCAAGGUGGAACAAAUCGAUCUGCGCCCGGCCUGCAUAAGCGGGCACAAAACUUAGCGGGCACACGGCAUGGUGGGGCCUUU
Molecule: non-coding RNA, 192 nt
Filed under: Chloroflexota bacterium
Lineage: Bacteria; Bacillati; Chloroflexota
Description: Chloroflexi bacterium 6S RNA
Rfam family: 6S / SsrS RNA
About the family: E. coli 6S RNA was the first non coding RNA to be sequenced, but its function was unknown until recently.
Source: RNAcentral